This 560-nucleotide ribosomal RNA is filed under the name uncultured Bacteroidota bacterium. Its description in RNAcentral is "bacterial SSU rRNA". It matches the Rfam family "Bacterial small subunit ribosomal RNA", at positions 349 to 907 of the family's 1533-position model. The record is from RNAcentral. Lineage: Bacteria; Pseudomonadati; Bacteroidota.
CAGCASUGAGGAAUAUUGGGCAAUGGAGGCAACUCUGACCCAGCCAUGCCGCGUGCAGGAAGACUGCCCUAUGGGUUGUAAACUGCUUUUAUACAGGAAGAAACUUAUCCACGUGUGGAUAACUGACGGUACUGUAAGAAUAAGGACCGGCUAACUCCGUGCCAGCAGCCGCGGUAAUACGGAGGGDCCAAGCGUUAUCCGGAAUCAUUGGGUUUAAAGGGUCCGUAGCGGGCAAUUAAGYCAGAGGUGAAAUCCCACAGCUCAACUGUGGAACUGCCUUUGAUACUGGUUGUCUUGAGUUACAGUGAAGUAGAUAGAAUAUGUAGUGUACGGUGAAAUGCAUAGAUAUUACAUAGAAUACCGAUUGCCGAAGGCAGUCUACUAACUGUAUACUGACGCUAAUGGACGAAAGCGUGGGGAGCCGAACAGGAUUAGAUACCCUGGUAGUCCACGCCGUAAACGAUGGUCACUAGUUGUUGGGGUCUUGUACCUCAGUGAUUAACGAGAAAUUGAUAAGUGACCCACCUGGGGAGUACGAUCGCAAGAUUGAAACUCAAAUG